GGAAUUUUCCCCAAUGGGCACUUUGGCCUGAGGGAGCAACGCCGCGUGCGGGAGGACGCCCUUCGGGGUGUAAACCGCUGUUCGUGGGGACGAAGACCUGACGGUACCCACGGAGGAAGGCCCGGCUAACUACGUGCCAGCAGCCGCGGUAAUACGUAGGGGCCGAGCGUUGUCCGGAGUUACUGGGCGUAAAGCGCGCGCAGGCGGCCCGCUGCGCCCGGCGUGAAAGCCCCCGGCUCAACCGGGGAAGGGCGUCGGGGACGGGCGGGCUUGAGGGCGGAAGGGGCUGGUGGAAUGCCCGGUGUAGUGGUGAAAUGCGUAGAGAUCGGGCGGAACACCCGUGGCGAAGGCGGCCAGCUGGGCCGACCCUGACGCUGAGGCGCGAAGGCGUGGGGAGCGAACGGGA
This 406-nucleotide unclassified non-coding RNA is filed under the name plant metagenome. Its description in RNAcentral is "partial contains 5.8S ribosomal RNA, internal transcribed spacer 2, and large subunit ribosomal RNA". It matches the Rfam family "Bacterial small subunit ribosomal RNA", at positions 358 to 777 of the family's 1533-position model. The record is from RNAcentral.